UACAGAGGGUGCAAGCGUUGUUCGGAAUUAUUGGGCGUAAAGCGCGUGUAGGCGGUCUUGUAAGUCUGAUGUGAAAGCCUGCGGCUUAACCGCAGAAGUGCGUUGGAAACUGCAAGACUAGAGUGUCUGAGGGGGUGGCGGAAUUCCAGAAGUAGAGGUGAAAUUCGUAGAUAUCUGGAGGAACACCAGUGGCGAAGGCGGCCACCUGGAAGACAACUGACGCUGAGACGCGAAAGCGUGGGUAGCAAACAGG
Molecule: ribosomal RNA, 253 nt
Filed under: uncultured bacterium
Lineage: Bacteria
Description: partial 16S ribosomal RNA
Rfam family: Bacterial small subunit ribosomal RNA
Source: RNAcentral